UACGUAGGGUGCAAGCGUUAAUCGGAAUUACUGGGCGUAAAGCGUGCGCAGGCGGUGAUGUAAGUCAGUUGUGAAAUCCCCGGGCUCAGCCUGGGAACUGCAUCUGUGACUGCAUCGCUGGAGUGCGGCAGAGGGGGAUGGAAUUCCGCGUGUAGCAGUGAAAUGCGUAGAUAUGCGGAGGAACACCGAUGGCGAAGGCAAUCCCCUGGGCCUGCACUGACGCUCAUGCACGAAAGCGUGGGGAGCAAACAGG
Molecule: ribosomal RNA, 253 nt
Filed under: uncultured bacterium
Lineage: Bacteria
Description: partial 16S ribosomal RNA
Rfam family: Bacterial small subunit ribosomal RNA
Source: RNAcentral